This 24-nucleotide non-coding RNA is filed under the name Arabidopsis thaliana (thale cress). Lineage: Eukaryota; Viridiplantae; Streptophyta; Magnoliopsida; Brassicales; Brassicaceae. The record is from RNAcentral.
AUUGAUGCUGACGUGGAUAUGCCG